AGAGUUUGAUCCUGGCUCAGAAUCAACGCUGGCGGCGUGCCUCAGACAUGCAAGUCGAACGAUUAAACUUUCCUUCGGGAAAGAUAUAAAGUGGCGCACGGGUGAGUAACACGUAGGUAAUGUACCUUUGGGUGGGGAAUAACUUAGGGAAACUUAAGCUAAUACCGCAUAAUGCAGCGGCUCCUUCGGGAGACAGUUGUUAAAGAUUUAUCGCCUAAAGAGCAGCCUGCGGCAGAUUAGCUAGUUGGUAAGGUAACGGCUUACCAAGGCUACGAUCUGUAUCCGACCUGAGAGGGUGGUCGGACACACUGACACUGAAUAACGGGUCAGACUCCUACGGGAGGCAGCAGUCGGGAAUUUUGGGCAAUGGGCGAAAGCCUGACCCAGCAACGCCGCGUGAAGGAUGAAGUCUCUCGGGAUGUAAACUUCGUAAGAAUAGGAAGAAUAAAUGACGGUACUAUUUGUAAGGUCCGGCUAACUACGUGCCAGCAGCCGCGGUAAUACGUAGGGACCAAGCGUUGUUCGGAUUUACUGGGCGUAAAGGGCGCGUAGGCGGCAAUUCAAGUCAGUUGUGAAAUCUCCGAGCUUAACUCGGAACGGUCAACUGAUACUGCUUUGCUAGAGUACAGAAGGGGCAAUCGGAAUUCUUGGUGUAGCGGUGAAAUGCGUAGAUAUCAAGAGGAACACCUGAGGUGAAGACGGGUUGCUGGGCUGAUACUGACGCUGAGGCGCGAAAGCUAGGGUAGCAAACGGGAUUAGAUACCCCGGUAGUCCUAGCCCUAAACGAUGAAUACUUGGUGUCUGGAGUUUUAUUCUCCGGGUGCCGUCGCUAACGUUUUUAGUAUUCCGCCUGGGGAGUACGCACGCAAGUGUGAAACUCAAGGGAAUUGACGG
Molecule: ribosomal RNA, 894 nt
Filed under: uncultured bacterium
Lineage: Bacteria
Description: bacterial SSU rRNA
Rfam family: Bacterial small subunit ribosomal RNA
Source: RNAcentral